GGGGGUAGGGCUCAGUGGUAGAGCAUGUGCUUAGCAUGCAUGAAGUCCUGGGUUCAAUCCCCAGUACCUCCA
This 72-nucleotide transfer RNA is filed under the name Camelus bactrianus (Bactrian camel). It matches the Rfam family "tRNA". From Rfam's summary of the family: Transfer RNA (tRNA) molecules are approximately 80 nucleotides in length. Their secondary structure includes four short double-helical elements and three loops (D, anti-codon, and T loops). The record is from Rfam by way of RNAcentral. RNAcentral also lists the same sequence under 2 other names. Lineage: Eukaryota; Metazoa; Chordata; Mammalia; Artiodactyla; Camelidae.